AGUGAACGCUGGCGGUAGGCCUAACACAUGCAAGUCGAACGGCAGCACAGUAAGAGCUUGCUCUUACGGGUGGCGAGUGGCGGACGGGUGAGGAAUACAUCGGAAUCUACUUUUUCGUGGGGGAUAACGUAGGGAAACUUACGCUAAUACCGCAUACGACCUACGGGUGAAAGCAGGGGAUCUUCGGACCUUGCGCGAUUGAAUGCGCCGAUGUCGGAUUAGCUAGUUGGCGGGGUAAAGGCCCACCAAGGCGACGAUCCGUAGCUGGUCUGAGAGGAUGAUAAGCCACAAUGGAACUGAGACACGGUCCAGACUCCUAAGGGAGGCAGCAGUGGGGAAUAUUGGACAAUGGGCGCAAGCCUGAUCCAGCCAUACCGCGUGGGUGAAGAAGGCCUUCGGGUUGGAAAGCCCUUUUGUUGGGAAAGAAAAGCAGCAGGUUAAUACCCCGCUGUUCUGACGGUACCCAAAGAAUAAGCACCGGCUAACUUCGUG
RNAcentral lists this ribosomal RNA (492 nucleotides) under uncultured bacterium. RNAcentral's name for it is "partial 16S ribosomal RNA". It matches the Rfam family "Bacterial small subunit ribosomal RNA", at positions 29 to 507 of the family's 1533-position model. The record is from RNAcentral.